UUAAAUUUAAAAGCGUCGGCCUUGUAAGUCGAAGACCGGGGGUGAAAUCCCUCCCCAAAGCA
This 62-nucleotide transfer RNA is filed under the name Somniosus pacificus (Pacific sleeper shark). RNAcentral describes it as "tRNA-Thr". It matches the Rfam family "tRNA", at positions 12 to 71 of the family's 71-position model. Rfam says of the family: Transfer RNA (tRNA) molecules are approximately 80 nucleotides in length. The record is from RNAcentral. Lineage: Eukaryota; Metazoa; Chordata; Chondrichthyes; Squaliformes; Somniosidae.